Molecule: ribosomal RNA, 492 nt
Filed under: uncultured bacterium
Lineage: Bacteria
Description: partial 16S ribosomal RNA
Rfam family: Bacterial small subunit ribosomal RNA
Source: RNAcentral
AGUGAACGCUGGCGGUAGGCCUAACACAUGCAAGUCGAACGGCAGCACAGUAAGAGCUUGCUCUUACGGGUGGCGAGUGGCGGACGGGUGAGGAAUACAUCGGAAUCUACUUUUUCGUGGGGGAUAACGUAGGGAAACUUACGCUAAUACCGCAUACGACCUACGGGUGAAAGCAGCGGAUCUUCGGACCUUGCGCGAUUGAAUGAGCCGAUGUCGGAUUAGCUAGUUGGCGGGGUAAAGGCCCACCAAGGCGACGAUCCGUAGCUGGUCUGAGAGGAUGAUCAGCCACACUGGAACUGAGACACGGUCCAGACUCCUACGGGAGGCAGCAGUGGGGAAUAUUGGACAAUGGGCGCAAGCCUGAUCCAGCCAUACCGCGUGGGUGAAGAAGGCCUUCGGGUUGUAAAGCCCUUUAGUUGGGAAAGAAAAGCAGCAGGUUAAUACCCCGCUGUUCUGACGGUACCCAAAGAAUAAGCACCGGCUAACUUCGUG